GAAACAUCUAAGUACCCCGAGGAAGAGAAAUCAACCGAGAUUGCGCGAGUAGCGGCGAGCGAAAGCGCACCAGCCCAAACCCGGGCGCGUGUAAGCGGCAGGCGUUGCCGCCCGGGGGUUGCGGGACUCGCGUCCAGGUGCUGCCCACCUGGGAGCGGUUACAAAUCCACAUGGUAGCGGAACGGCAUGGAAGGGCCGGCCGCAGCGGGUGAGAGCCCCGUACGCGAAACCAUGCGGACCGCUGACGAGUAUCCCGAGUAGGGCCGGGCACGUGAAACCCGGUCCGAAGCCGGGGGGACCACCCUCCAAGGCUGAACACUCUCCUGUGACCGAUAGCGAACCAGUACCGUGAGGGAAAGGUGAAAAGCACCCCGAGAGGGGAGUGAAACAGUACCUGAAACCGUGCGCCCACAAGCAGUCGGAGCAGCCUUUGCGCUGUGACGGCGUGCCUUUUGUAGAAUGAGCCAGCGAGUUGCGGUGUGCGGCGAGGUUAAGUUUGGAAACGAGCCGCAGCGAAAGCGAGCCUUUAAGAUGGCGAGUGAGUCGCACGCUGCAGACGCGAA
Molecule: ribosomal RNA, 563 nt
Filed under: Adlercreutzia equolifaciens subsp. celatus DSM 18785
Lineage: Bacteria; Bacillati; Actinomycetota; Coriobacteriia; Eggerthellales; Eggerthellaceae
Description: bacterial LSU rRNA
Rfam family: Bacterial large subunit ribosomal RNA
Source: RNAcentral